UAGCAAAAAAUGAAAUACUUCAUUUACGGUUACGGCCCGUAAGCAGACAGUGAAAUUCUGUCUUUGCGAA
Molecule: transfer RNA, 70 nt
Filed under: Chrysomallon squamiferum (scaly-foot gastropod)
Lineage: Eukaryota; Metazoa; Mollusca; Gastropoda; Neomphalida; Peltospiridae
Description: tRNA-Arg
Source: RNAcentral